This 465-nucleotide ribosomal RNA is filed under the name Vreelandella stevensii. RNAcentral's name for it is "partial 16S ribosomal RNA". It matches the Rfam family "Bacterial small subunit ribosomal RNA", at positions 338 to 795 of the family's 1533-position model. The record is from RNAcentral. Lineage: Bacteria; Pseudomonadati; Pseudomonadota; Gammaproteobacteria; Oceanospirillales; Halomonadaceae.
CCUACGGGGGGCAGCAGUGGGGAAUAUUGGACAAUGGGGGCAACCCUGAUCCAGCCAUGCCGCGUGUGUGAAGAAGGCCCUCGGGUUGUAAAGCACUUUCAGUGAGGAAGAACGCCUGGUGGUUAAUACCCAUCAGGAAAGACAUCACUCACAGAAGAAGCACCGGCUAACUCCGUGCCAGCAGCCGCGGUAAUACGGAGGGUGCGAGCGUUAAUCGGAAUUACUGGGCGUAAAGCGCGCGUAGGUGGCUUGAUAAGCCGGUUGUGAAAGCCCCGGGCUCAACCUGGGAACGGCAUCCGGAACUGUCAAGCUAGAGUGCAGGAGAGGAAGGUAGAAUUCCCGGUGUAGCGGUGAAAUGCGUAGAGAUCGGGAGGAAUACCAGUGGCGAAGGCGGCCUUCUGGACUGACACUGACACUGAGGUGCGAAAGCGUGGGUAGCAAACAGGAUUAGAUACCCGAGUAGUC